Molecule: ribosomal RNA, 253 nt
Filed under: uncultured bacterium
Lineage: Bacteria
Description: partial 16S ribosomal RNA
Rfam family: Bacterial small subunit ribosomal RNA
Source: RNAcentral
UACAGAGGGUGCGAGCGUUAAUCGGAAUUACUGGGCGUAAAGAGCUCGUAGGUGGUUUGUCGCGUUGUCCGUGAAAACUCACAGCUUAACUGUGGGCGUGCGGGCGAUACGGGCAGACUGGAGUACUGCAGGGGAGACUGGAAUUCCUGGUGUAGCGGUGGAAUGCGCAGAUAUCAGGAGGAACACCGGUGGCGAAGGCGGGUCUCUGGGCAGUAACUGACGCUGAGGAGCGAAAGCGUGGGGAGCGAACAGG